AAGUCUUGACAUCCCGAUGCCCGGCUCGUAAUGGAGCCUUUUCUUCGGAACAUCGGAGACAGGUGGUGCAUGGUU
RNAcentral lists this ribosomal RNA (75 nucleotides) under uncultured bacterium. RNAcentral describes it as "partial 16S ribosomal RNA". The record is from RNAcentral.